Molecule: ribosomal RNA, 378 nt
Filed under: uncultured organism
Description: partial 16S ribosomal RNA
Rfam family: Bacterial small subunit ribosomal RNA
Source: RNAcentral
GUAGGUGGCAAGCGUUGUCCGGGAAUUAUUGGGGCGUAAAGCGCGCGCAGGCGGUUCUUUAAGUCUGAUGUGAAAGCCCACGGGCUCAACCGUGGGAGGGUCAUUGGAAACUGGAGAACUUGAGUACAGAAGAGGAAAGCGGAAUUCCACGUGUAGCGGUGAAAUGCGUAGAGAUGUGGAGGAACACCAGUGGCGAAGGCGGCUUUCUGGUCUGUAACUGACGCUGAGGCGCGAAAGCGUGGGGAGCAAACAGGAUUAGAUACCCUGGUAGUCCACGCCGUAAACGAUGAGUGCUAAGUGUUACGGGGGUCUCCGCCCCUUAGUGCUGCAGCUAACGCAUUAAGCACUCCGCCUGGGGAGUACGGCCGCAAAGGCUGA